AAACAACUAAAAGUUGGCGAACUGGAUAAUCACACACCCACUCCUGUGAAAAGGAAGAGAUCAGUAAAAUCACAAGUUAAAAGCUCACAAUCUUCUGCAGGAGGUAAUAAGGGCAAGAAGGGGUCAGUUAUGUCUAAAGAAUUUGUCAAAAAAGAGUGUAUAACGAAAGAGACUGACCUUCCUGUCAUCAUAGGAUUAGAGUGUAACGGAUUGAGGGGCUUACAAGCCAGAAAAUCUCAUCACUUUCCUAGUGAGGAAUCUUUGAAGCUCUUGAGAGAUCAAAAGGAGCAAUUAAAUGAUUCAACAAGACACAAGAUCAAGGAAAUUAAUCGGUUAGAAGAAGGUGGAGAGAGCAA
Molecule: long non-coding RNA, 356 nt
Organism: Cornus florida
Lineage: Eukaryota; Viridiplantae; Streptophyta; Magnoliopsida; Cornales; Cornaceae
Exons: 3
Source: RefSeq, a predicted model, not a curated record